Molecule: long non-coding RNA, 1339 nt
Organism: Eptesicus fuscus (big brown bat)
Lineage: Eukaryota; Metazoa; Chordata; Mammalia; Chiroptera; Vespertilionidae
Exons: 3
Source: RefSeq, a predicted model, not a curated record
GUCAUUGAGGAGGAGAGCACAGGAGAUGAGGUCAGAGGAGGAAGGCGAGAUCACGCAGGUCUCGGAGACCAGGCCAGUAGCUGGAUUUAUGACACUACAAUGAUGGCUAAUGUGCCAAUACCCAUAGGAACCUGUAUCCAGGAUCACGGUACCUGUGAAUAAAGUGCAGCUGCUCCAGGUAGACACAGCCUUUUGAAAUAUCUACACACAGGUCUACAAGGUCAACCAAGAGGAACAAUUCAGACAGGCAAAUUCGGCUACAACUGUUUCCUCAAGAUGUCAAAGCAAAUAAAUUCCAAUUGAAUAACUAGAACCACUGCCUCAGGUCUUCCCGUUAAGAUGUCUUUCAUCAGUUUUCAUGCUCAACAACUAACUCUAACACUGAAGUCAAGUUUACCAAGACAAGGGAUAUUUUCAUUGGCAUCACUGUACCUAAGAGAACUCUCUCUUACUCAGUCUACUUCAACCAUUCCCACAUAUUUAGAAGACCAUUAGCAUGUUUAACCUUUUGCACUCGGAUGUCGAGUGUGACUCGACACGGUUAGCAUCGGCAGCAGCUCGUAUGUCGAAUUGUAUUGAAUGUAUCAAUAAUUUGAAAUAUAAAAAAACUCCAAAUAAAUAAGUUUGUAUGAAAAGAAACUCCAGUUUUUCAUUCUACUGCCGUGCUUUGUAAAAUCUGGGGUAUUUAAAAAAUUAAAUCCCGAGUAGAAUAAAGGAAUCGAGAAUAAAGCAAGCGAGUGCAAAGGGUUAAAGCUGGUCAGCUUCAGAAGUCACUUGCAAAACACAUGUUUUAUUGAAGGUAAAAGGAAAACCUUUUGCUGGAGGACUGCCUGUGCCCUGACUUGGAAGACUGGAUUCUAUAAAGUACUUGACAUUACAGACAUAUUCCUAUUUAGACUUCAGCCAUGCUCAUUUGGGGCAUGAUCUAUUAUGUCAGGUGAUUUGGAAUGUUAAAAGUCUACCAAUCAGAUGUAAAAGCUUCCUACCCAUACCAAGGGAAAAUUAUUUUAGAGCUGCCCUGAUACCUCAUCAGAUAUGCCUCCUUCAGGAAUUCAAUCUUUUCUUGGUCUGUGGAGCCCUUCUUCAAAGUCUGUGCAACAUAAAAACAAGCCAAGAAUCAGUAUAGCAGACAUUUCUGUGAGCUCAGUGGAUUAAUGGAGAUAAUCUUUGUUUUGUUUUAUAAUAUCCACCUUGAAAUUGCAAAAUAAAUAAUGGAUAGUGCAUGUGCAUGUACUAUGUAAACCUAAUCAAAAGAUAGCUCCUGUUAUUGGAAGUAUUUAAGUGAAAUAUCUGAUAGAUAAAAGAUCUAGUAAUAUUUACACAAAGUCUCUCCAAAAUG